GAUCUGUCCGGGCUCGUGCUGAUACCGAUGUCGUAUUAGGUUUUACCAACUUCGGCGAGAGUGUUAUUGGUGUGUGGUCAUUAAGCUUCGGGAAGUGGCGUAGUCUGGCGAACAGUACUCUUUAAGUUUGACCUCAAAUCAGGUAGGAAUACCCGCUGAACUUAAGCAUAUCAAUAAGCGGAGGAAAAGAAACCAACCGGGAUUGCUUUAGUAACGGCGAGUGAAGCGGCAAAAGCUCAAAUUUGAAAUCUGGUACCUUCGGUGCCCGAGUUGUAAUUUGUAGAGGGAUACUUUGGGGCUGGUCCUUGUCUAUGUUCCUUGGAACAGGACGUCAUAGAGGGUGAGAAUCCCGUGUGGCGAGGAACCCAGUUCUUUGUAAAGUGCCUUCGAAGAGUCGAGUUGUUUGGGAAUGCAGCUCUAAGUGGGUGGUAAAUUCCAUCUAAAGCUAAAUAUUGGCGAGAGACCGAUAGCGAACAAGUACAGUGAUGGAAAGAUGAAAAGAACUUUGAAAAGAGAGUGAAAAAGUACGUGAAAUUGUUGAAAGGGAAGGGCAUUUGAUCAGACAUGGUGUUUUGCGCCCUCUGCUCCUUGUGGGUGGGGGACUCUCGCAGUUCACUGGGCCAGCAUCAGUUUUGGCGGUAGGAUAAAUCCUGAGGAACGUGGCUUGCUUCGGCGAGUGUUAUAGCCUCUGGGAAUACUGCCAGCCGGGACUGAGGACUGCGACAUUCGUCAAGGAUGCUGGCAUAAUGGUUAUAUGCCGCCCGUCUUGAAACACGGACCAAGGAGUCUAACGUCUAUGCGAGUGUUUGGGUGUAAAACCCGUACGCGUAAUGAAAGUGAACGUAGGUUGGGGCCUCGCAAGAGGUGCACAAUCGACCGAUCCUGAUGUUUUCGGAUGGAUUUGAGUAAGAGCAUAGCUGUUGGGACCCGAAAGAUGGUGAACUAUGCCUGAAUAGGGUGAAGCCAGAGGAAACUCUGGUGGAGGCUCGUAGCGGUUCUGACGUGCAAAUCGAUCGUCGAAUUUGGGUAUAGGGCGAAAGACUAAUCGA
This 1049-nucleotide ribosomal RNA is filed under the name Naumovozyma dairenensis. Its description in RNAcentral is "LSU rRNA". The stretch from base 129 to 1049 matches the Rfam family "Eukaryotic large subunit ribosomal RNA", at positions 1 to 938 of the family's 3401-position model. Lineage: Eukaryota; Fungi; Ascomycota; Saccharomycetes; Saccharomycetales; Saccharomycetaceae. The record is from RNAcentral.